GAUGAACGCUGGCGGCGUGCCUAAUACAUGCAAGUCGAGCGAACAGACGAGGAGCUUGCUCCUCUGACGUUAGCGGCGGACGGGUGAGUAACACGUGGAUAACCUACCUAUAAGACUGGGAUAACUUCGGGAAACCGGAGCUAAUACCGGAUAAUAUAUUGAACCGCAUGGUUCAAUAGUGAAAGACGGUUUUGCUGUCACUUAUAGAUGGAUCCGCGCCGCAUUAGCUAGUUGGUAAGGUAACGGCUUACCAAGGCGACGAUGCGUAUCCGACCUGAGAGGGUGACCGGCCACACUGGAACUGAGACACGGUCCAGACUCCUACGGGAGGCAGCGGUAGGGAAUCUUCGGCAAUGGGCGAAAGCCUGACGGAGCAACGCCGCGUGAGUGAUGAAGGUCUUCGGAUCUUAAAACUCUGUUAUUAGGGAAGAACAAAUGUGGAAGUAACUAUGCACGUCUUGACGGUACCUAAUCAGAAAGCGACGGCUAACUACGUG
RNAcentral lists this ribosomal RNA (497 nucleotides) under uncultured bacterium. RNAcentral describes it as "partial 16S ribosomal RNA". It matches the Rfam family "Bacterial small subunit ribosomal RNA", at positions 28 to 507 of the family's 1533-position model. The record is from RNAcentral.